GGUUAGCGGCUUAGGCGUACAGGGUGGUGGCCUGGCCGGCAAGAGGGAUUGAAGAACGGGAUAACAGGGGAAAAGGUUGGUUAGGGUAAUUUGACCCUUUAUAACCGGCGUGUUCGGAAGGGGAAACCCAGUGUGAUUCGUCACACUAUCGUUAACUGAAUACAUAGGUUAACGAGGCGAACCGGGGGAACUGAAACAUCUAAGUACCCCGAGGAAAA
Molecule: ribosomal RNA, 218 nt
Filed under: Klebsiella pneumoniae
Lineage: Bacteria; Pseudomonadati; Pseudomonadota; Gammaproteobacteria; Enterobacterales; Enterobacteriaceae
Description: partial 23S ribosomal RNA
Rfam family: Bacterial large subunit ribosomal RNA
Source: RNAcentral